AACGAACGCUGGCGGCAUGCCUAACACAUGCAAGUCGAACGAGACCUUCGGGUCUAGUGGCGCACGGGUGCGUAACGCGUGGGAACCUGCCCUUAGGUUCGGAAUAACUCCCCGAAAGGGGUGCUAAUACCGGCUAAUGUCUUCGGACCAAAGAUUUAUCGCCUUUGGAUGGGCCCGCGUUGGAUUAGUUAGUUGGUAGGGUAAAAGCCUACCAAGGCGACGAUCCAUAGCUGGUCUGAGAGCAUGAUCAGCCACACUGGGACGGAGACACGGCCCAGACGCCGACGGGAGGCAGGAGUGGGGAAUAUUGGACAAUGGGCGAAAGCCUGAUCCAGCAAUGACGCGUGAGUGAUGAAGGCCUUAGGGUUGUAAAGCUCUUGUACCCGGGAUGAUAAUGACAGUACCGGGAGAAUAAGCUCCGGCUAACUCCGUG
RNAcentral lists this ribosomal RNA (433 nucleotides) under uncultured bacterium. Its description in RNAcentral is "partial 16S ribosomal RNA". It matches the Rfam family "Bacterial small subunit ribosomal RNA", at positions 29 to 507 of the family's 1533-position model. The record is from RNAcentral.